This is a non-coding RNA of Meleagris gallopavo (turkey), 213 nucleotides long. The record is from RefSeq and is a predicted model, not a curated record. NCBI's taxonomy places the organism in Eukaryota, Metazoa, Chordata, Aves, Galliformes, Phasianidae.
AGCAAUGAUUUUUGUCUUCAUGGACAUAACCAGCAAGUGGAAUACUAACCAAUCUUGACAGAUGCUUCACAGAACAAUGGCUGAGCAAUAAAUACCAAAUUAUAUGCUUAUUUUUCAGGAACCUUCAAAAAAGAAAAGGUUAGAAUUGCCUGAAAAGAAAAACGCCAGAGAGAUCAGAUCAGUUUACUGAAGGCAGAAGAAGUAAGAAGACUG